GGCUGGUCCAAGUGCAGUGGUGUUUACAACUAAUUGAGCACAACCAGUUACAGAUUCCUUUGUUCCUUCUCCAUUCUCACUGCUUUGCUUGACUGGUCUAAA
Otolemur garnettii (small-eared galago) is the source of this 102-nucleotide unclassified non-coding RNA. It matches the Rfam family "Y RNA". From Rfam's summary of the family: Y RNAs are components of the Ro ribonucleoprotein particle (Ro RNP), in association with Ro60 and La proteins. The Y RNAs and Ro60 and La proteins are well conserved, but the function of the Ro RNP is not known. In humans the RNA component can be one of four small RNAs -- hY1, hY3, hY4 and hY5. The record is from Ensembl. Lineage: Eukaryota; Metazoa; Chordata; Mammalia; Primates; Galagidae.